This 468-nucleotide ribosomal RNA is filed under the name uncultured bacterium. Its description in RNAcentral is "partial 16S ribosomal RNA". It matches the Rfam family "Bacterial small subunit ribosomal RNA", at positions 28 to 507 of the family's 1533-position model. The record is from RNAcentral.
GACGAACGCUGCCGGCGCGCUCAACCCAUGCAAGUCGAACGGACAGGCCCUGCUUAUGUGGGGUGCUCGAGUGGCGAACGCGUGAGUAACACGUGAGUAACCUGCCCUUGACUUUGGGAUAUCUUCAGGAAACUGGGGCUAAUACCGGAUAGGAGCACCCGCCGCAUGGUGGGGGUUGGACAGUUUCGGCAGUUGGGGAUGGACUCGCGGCUUCUCAGCUUGUUGGUUGGGUAGUGGCAUACCAAGGCUCUGACGGGUAGCCGGCCUGAGCGGGAGACCGGCCUGGCUGGGGCUGGGGUACGGCCCAGACUCCUACGGGAGGCAGCAGUGGGGAAUAUUGCACAAUGGGCCGAAGCCUGAUGCAGGAACGCCGCCUGAGGGAUGACGGCCUUCGGGUUGUAGACCGCGUUCGCCUGUGACGGAGCGUGAGUGACGGUAAUGGGUAAAGAAGCACCGGCUAACUACGUG